CCUACGGGGUGCAGCAGUGAGGAAUAUUGGUCAAUGGACGCAAGUCUGAACCAGCCAUGCCGCGUGCAGGAUGACGGCUCUAUGAGUUGUAAACUGCUUUUGUACGAGGGUAAUAUCAGAUACGUGUAUCUGCUUGAAAGUAUCGUACGAAUAAGGAUCGGCUAACUCCGUGCCAGCAGCCGCGGUAAUACGGAGGAUGCGAGCGUUAUCCGGAUUUAUUGGGUUUAAAGGGUGCGUAGGCGGGCAUUUAAGCCGGCGGUCAAAUGUCGGGGCUCAACCCCGGCCUGCCGUCGGAACUGGGGGCUUGGAGUGGGCGAGAAGUAUGCGGAAUGCGUGGUGGAGCGGUGAAAUGAAGAGAUAUCACGCAGAACCCGGAUUGAGAAGGCAGCAUACCGGGGCCCUACUGACGCGGAGGCACGAAAGUGCGGGUAUCGAACAGGAUUAGAUACCCGUGUAGUC
RNAcentral lists this ribosomal RNA (459 nucleotides) under uncultured bacterium. RNAcentral's name for it is "partial 16S ribosomal RNA". It matches the Rfam family "Bacterial small subunit ribosomal RNA", at positions 338 to 795 of the family's 1533-position model. The record is from RNAcentral.